RNAcentral lists this ribosomal RNA (2196 nucleotides) under Stenotrophomonas maltophilia M30. RNAcentral describes it as "bacterial LSU rRNA". It matches the Rfam family "Bacterial large subunit ribosomal RNA", at positions 751 to 2925 of the family's 2925-position model. The record is from RNAcentral. Lineage: Bacteria; Pseudomonadati; Pseudomonadota; Gammaproteobacteria; Lysobacterales; Lysobacteraceae.
GUGCGGUAACACGCACUGGAGGCCCGAACCCACUCCCGUUGCAAAGGUAGGGGAUGAGGUGUGAUUAGGAGUGAAAAGCUAAUCGAACCCGGAGAUAGCUGGUUCUCCUCGAAAGCUAUUUAGGUAGCGCCUCAUAUGUAUCCUCUCGGGGGUAGAGCACUGUUAUGGCUAGGGGGUCAUCGCGACUUACCAAACCAUUGCAAACUCCGAAUACCGAGACGGACUGUAUGGGAGACACACGGCGGGUGCUAACGUCCGUCGUGAAAAGGGAAACAACCCAGACCCACAGCUAAGGUCCCAAAUUUUGUGCUAAGUGGAAAACCAUGUGGAAAGGCACAGACAGCCAGGAGGUUGGCUUAGAAGCAGCCACCCUUUAAAGAAAGCGUAAUAGCUCACUGGUCGAGUCGGUCUGCGGGGAAGAUUUAACGGGGCUAAGCACAGAACCGAAGCUUGGGGUGCAUACUUUGUAUGCGCGGUAGAGGAGCGUUCCGUAAGCCGUUGAAGGUGGAUUGAGAAGUCUGCUGGAGGUAUCGGAAGUGCGAAUGCUGACAUGAGUAACGAUAAUGCGGGUGAAAAACCCGCACGCCGAAAGCCCAAGGUUUCCUUGCGCAACGUUAAUCGGCGCAGGGUGAGUCGGCCCCUAAGGCGAGGACGAAAGUCGUAGUCGAUGGGAAGCAGGUUAAUAUUCCUGCACCUCGCGUAAGUGCGAUGGAGGGACGGAGAAGGUUAGGUGUACCAGGCGUUGGUUGUCCUGGGGAAAGGCGGUAGGUUUGGAUCUUUGGCAAAUCCGGGAUCCUUUAAGACCGAGCACCGAGACGAGCCUUUAUGGCGAAGUCACUGAUACCACGCUUCCAGGAAAAGCUCCUAAGCUUCAGCUUACGCAGACCGUACCGUAAACCGACACAGGUGGGUAGGAUGAGAAUUCUCAGGCGCUUGAGAGAACUCGGGUGAAGGAACUAGGCAACAUGGCACCGUAACUUCGGGAGAAGGUGCACCCUUUUUGGUGGCUCGUGCGAGCUAUAGCUGAAGAGGGUCGCAGUAACCAGGCCGCUGCGACUGUUUAUCAAAAACACAGCACUCUGCAAACACGAAAGUGGACGUAUAGGGUGUGACGCCUGCCCGGUGCUGGAAGGUUAAUUGAUGGGGUCAGCCGCAAGGCGAAGCUCUUGAUCGAAGCCCCAGUAAACGGCGGCCGUAACUAUAACGGUCCUAAGGUAGCGAAAUUCCUUGUCGGGUAAGUUCCGACCUGCACGAAUGGCGUAACGACAGCGGCGCUGUCUCCACCCGAGACUCAGUGAAAUUGAAAUCGCUGUGAAGAUGCAGCGUUCCCGUGGCAAGACGGAAAGACCCCGUGAACCUUUACUAUAGCUUUACACUGAACGUUGAGUUCGUCUGUGUAGGAUAGGUGGGAGGCUAUGAAACCAUGGCGCUAGCUGUGGCGGAGCCAUCCUUGAAAUACCACCCUGUCGUGCUUGACGUUCUAACCUGGGCCCAUUAUCUGGGUCGGGGACCGUGUAUGGUGGGUAGUUUGACUGGGGCGGUCUCCUCCUAAAGAGUAACGGAGGAGCUCGAAGGUACGCUCAGCGCGGUCGGACAUCGCGCACUGUGUGCAAAGGCAUAAGCGUGCUUGACUGCAAGAUCGACGGAUCAAGCAGGUAGGAAACUAGGACUUAGUGAUCCGGUGGUUCUGUAUGGAAGGGCCAUCGCUCAACGGAUAAAAGGUACUCCGGGGAUAACAGGCUGAUACCGCCCAAGAGUUCAUAUCGACGGCGGUGUUUGGCACCUCGAUGUCGGCUCAUCACAUCCUGGGGCUGUAGUCGGUCCCAAGGGUAUGGCUGUUCGCCAUUUAAAGUGGUACGCGAGCUGGGUUCAGAACGUCGUGAGACAGUUCGGUCCCUAUCUGCCAUGGGCGUUGGAGAUUUGAGAGGGGCUGCUCCUAGUACGAGAGGACCGGAGUGGACGAACCUCUGGUGUUCCGGUUGUCACGCCAGUGGCAUUGCCGGGUAGCUAUGUUCGGAAGCGAUAACCGCUGAAAGCAUCUAAGCGGGAAGCGCGCCUCAAGAUGAGAUCUCCCGGGGCACAAGCCCCCUGAAGGAACCAUGUAGACUACGUGGUUGAUAGGUCAGGUGUGUAAGUACAGCAAUGUAUUGAGCUAACUGAUACUAAUGAUCCGUGCGGCUUGACCAUAUAACCUCA